Long non-coding RNA from Chrysemys picta bellii (western painted turtle), 1789 nucleotides. The record is from Ensembl. NCBI's taxonomy places the organism in Eukaryota, Metazoa, Chordata, Testudines, Emydidae.
GAUGUCCUGAUUUUAUAGGGGACAGUCCCGAUUUUUGGGUCUUUUUCUUAUAUAGGCUCCUAUUACCCCCCACCUCCGUCCCGAUUUUUCACCCUUGCUGUCUGGUCACCCUACCCCCAGUGGCCAGUGUAGUGCAGCACCAGCCCUCUCUGCAGAAAGGAGUCUGCGCUGGUAAAUGGUUUCUAUAGCAGCAGCAAGGUUGGCAAACAGGGCUGGGCAGAGACAGCAAGAGUUUCCAACCUCCCAAGGCAUUUAAGCUGUUACUCUUCUGCACUGCUCCUUCUUCUGAACGAUACAUGUAGGAGAUGCAGCCUGAAAAGUCAAAGAAAUUCUCUGCUUCAAAAAUGACUCACACACGCAACCUGGCACCUAGUUUCAAACAAAUGGAUACACUGAGUUCAAUUGAGGCAGAGUACAUAAAGAAUCUACAGAAAGAAGUCUACCUACUGGAACUUGAGACAUCAUUUCUAAGAGAGCAAGCUAAAAAGGCUACCAGUAUUCAACCAAAAAUCAGCACUCAAGCGGAAAAAGUGUUGCAGAAGAUGAAGGAAUUACAGUCAGAAAUAAAUACUGCUCAGCUGGAACUUGGAAAGAAAGAGAACAGCACCAAGUUUUUCGAUGCAGAAAAUCAAGCCAUGCAUAAACGUCUGCAAACUCUAUCAGAUGCAAAUACUAGAGAAAAGCUGUUAUUAAUGGAGGAUGUUACAAAGCUGAAGAAACUUGCUGAGAUUGUCAUUCAGGACAUUUCACACAAAGAAGCAGAGCUACUAGAAGUUCAGAAAGAGCUACAGAGGGCCAUGAAUUCCAUGAAAGAAAAAGAGCAUAAGCGCCAUCAUUUGGAAAAUCAACUACACCAGCAGAUUCAACACCACCAGGAUAUGGAAGCAAAGCUUGUGGAAAAUAGAUCAGAAUGUUUAAGAGUGCAGGCGUUGCUCCACCAGCUGGAGGAGAAAUACCUUACUAGCUCCCAGUCCAUGCAGCAGCAUAUUGCCAAAGAACUUCGGGAGGAAGCUGAAAAAUUAAGACAGCAGCUCAAAGAAAAAGAACUUUCUGCUGAUGAGGAUAAAUAUUUACGCAACAAAAUGGCAGAAGAUUGUGGAUAUCUGACAAAAGAAAAUGGCUUCUUACAGUCUCAGGUUCUGGAAGCAGCCAGGCAGCUAGAUAGAGAGAGGCAGCUGAGAGAGGAGGAAAGCACCUGCCGUACAAGGAGGAUUUCUGAGCUAGCCUGUGAAAAGGAGAAAGAACGACAACUUGAGAUGGAGUUCACUUACGUGAAGAGACUAUUGCAGGAUGAAAGACAGAAGGCUCUUACUGCACAAGAGCAGGUACUACGUCUCCAGCAAGAAAGGAAAUCUGUAAAUCUAAAUGGACAGUCACUUCAGAGCCAGCUAAAAGAUUUAGAAAGGAGAUGGUCAAAAGCUCAACUGGAAAAUUCAAAACUGCGAACAGAAAAAACUCAUUUAGUAGAACAUAUUUCUCAGUUACAUAAACAGAUUUCUGAGAAAGAGGAUGAAAUCCGUCGCAUGCAUGAACAUGUUAAUACUAUGUCCUAUGACCUGACUAGUCUGAAAUCUCAAGUGGAAACAGAACAUAGCUUGCAGAGAGAAAGAUGGAAAGAGUUCUCCAAUAUUCUAACGGCAUACAAGUCACCUGCUAAAUGAGCUCUAUUUAGGGAAGUAGUUACUUAAAGUGAGCUAACCUAAUAAUUUUAAAAAUGAAACUGAUACUAACAAUUAGUUCCUUAAAUUCCCAUUGUAAAAAAAUAAAAAAAUAAAAGUGUCCUGAUGCA